UUAUCAGUAUGGGACGAGAGCCUUCGGA
This 28-nucleotide small RNA is filed under the name Bombyx mori (domestic silkworm). Its description in RNAcentral is "ovarian small RNA-36814". Lineage: Eukaryota; Metazoa; Arthropoda; Insecta; Lepidoptera; Bombycidae. The record is from RNAcentral.